GAUCAAAAUAAUUUUGUUACAUGCAAAAGAACGAAAAUAUGAUUAAAAUUAUCAAACUUGUUUAUACUAUGAUUCUAUUUCUUACUCCAUCUCUUGCAAUGAAACAUCCUCUAGAAUUACCUUAUCCAUGUAACAAUGACAUUAAUUGUAAAUGGAUUGGCUGUCCUCAUGGAAAAUUCGGAGAAUGCCAUUUUGGAGCGUGUUUCUGCGUUGACAGGAAUUAAAAUUAACUGAUGGAGCUUCACAUGCAUGUGCGAGAGGAGUUUUGUUUUAUGUCUCGCUUAAUGAUUUUUCUAUUGUAUAUUAGCAUAUUUAGUUUUUUUGUCUUAUGUAUGAGAUAUUUGUAAGAUUUUAGUAGUCUAAAAUUCUAGUAGUUGAGAUAUUAUGGUAAUAUGAAAAGUUAGAGUGUAUUAAGGUUUAAAAUUUUAUGCAGAUUGCAUAAUAAGAAAUAAUUAGGUGGUGAAUUGUGAAGUGGUUUUUUCUUGGCAAUUUUUAUAAGAUAAGAUCU
This is a long non-coding RNA of Vicia villosa (hairy vetch), 508 nucleotides long. RefSeq lists it as uncharacterized. The record is from RefSeq and is a predicted model, not a curated record. The transcript is spliced from 3 exons. Lineage: Eukaryota; Viridiplantae; Streptophyta; Magnoliopsida; Fabales; Fabaceae.